UAAUGUACCUCGAAGACCGGGAUAGCCAUUGGAAACGAUGAUUAAUACUGGAUAUACCUUUCAUUCAUAAGUUUGAAAGGGAAACGUUUUUUCGCUUCGAGAUCAGACUAUAUCCCAUCAGCUUGUUGGUAGUGUAAGAGACUACCAAGGCUAUGACGGGUAGCGGGUUUGAGAGGAUGAUCCGCCACACUGGUACUGAGACACGGACCAGACUCCUACGGGAGGCAGCAGUGAGGAAUAUUGCACAAUGGGGGAAACCCUGAUGCAGCAACGCCGCGUGGAGGAUGACGCAUUUCGGUGUGUAAACUCCUUUUAUGAGUCAAGACAAUGACGGUAGCUCAUGAAUAAGCACCGGCUAACUCCGUGCCAGCAGCCGCGGUAAUACGGAGGGUGCAAGCGUUACUCGGAAUCACUGGGCGUAAAGGACGCGUAGGCGGGUUGGAAAGUCUGAUGCGAAAUCCUACAGCUUAACUGUAGAACUGCAUUGGAAACUUCCAACCUAGAGUAUGGGAGGGGGAGAUGGAAUUAGUGGUGUAGGGGUAAAAUCCGUAGAUAUCACUAGGAAUACCUAAAGCGAAGGCGAUCUCCUGGAACAUUACUGACGCUAAGGCGUGAAAGCGUGGGGAGCAAACAGGAUUAGAUACCCCGGUAGUCCACGCCCUAAACGAUGAACACUAGUCGUCAGGAAGCUUGUCUUCUCGGUGAUGCACUUAACAGAUUAAGUGUUCCGCCUGAAGAGUACGAUCGCAAGAUUAAAACUCA
Molecule: ribosomal RNA, 762 nt
Filed under: uncultured Campylobacterota bacterium
Lineage: Bacteria; Pseudomonadati; Campylobacterota
Description: bacterial SSU rRNA
Rfam family: Bacterial small subunit ribosomal RNA
Source: RNAcentral